UCAGAAUGAUAGCUGUUAAUAGAUUCCCCUUAUUUCUUCUGCUGUUAUGGAUACGUUCAUCAGAAUGUAACAACGGGAAAUACAUAUUUCUCCUACCUAAAGCUGUAAGACCGGGUGUGGAUUAUAUUUUUUCUGCCCAAAACCUGGGAACAGAAUCAAUUCAGAUAACAUCAACAUUGGAGGACCAGGAUGGCGUCGCAUGGGCUUCACAAAACGAUGUUUUAGCGACAAGGAAAAGGAUACUGCUUAGAGUAAGUGUUAAUAUACUUAUCAUUCACCUAAUUUCUUAUGCGGAUGCUACGUGAGGGCACUAUAGAGAUUCAUUUUUGAAUAUAGGUAUCAAAUUGUCUUCAAGCCUUUUUACCUUUCGCUAACGUAGAAUUCAUUACUGCUCAAUAAAAUAUCUAACUGCUUGCUACUCAGUUGACAAUAUUAAAUCCAUUUUAUUUUUGAUCGAUCAAAUUAUCCUAAGCAUGUUACAUACCAAUGACAGUAUUCAGUUGUCAUUCUGAGAUCCAUAAUUCAGCUGCCAUUCUGAGAACCAUAAUUCGCGGUCAGCUGUGGCAGUCAAUUUUAUUUUUAGUAACACGGCUUGACCAAUCAAAAAUAAGGGCUUCCCCCACGCGAUGUCAUUGACCUCAUUUCGUGUUACUUCCGGUCCCACGAAGAUGAUGAUCGCCAAGUGAUAUAGCGCUUUAAGUUUGAUUUGUAAUUUAUAAGGCUGUAAAAUGACCAAUUUAAUUACAUCGGUAGCUGAAUAAUGAACAAAAAUGAUCGUUGGCAAUAAAACCGACGGGACGUUUUGGAACUAGUGAGUAUUGUGAGAUGAUAGCAGACGAAAUGUCUUGAACGCGUGAAAACAACAUGGCGGGUGAGUAACUUUGUAUAAUCAAGUUUUAUUUUAAUCUCUUCAAGUGCCUGUGGUAUUGAUAUAAGAUCAUCACUGUAUCCGUAAGCUUAGGUCGCAAGGGCUAAUUGACCAAAUAUUUAA
Molecule: long non-coding RNA, 991 nt
Organism: Patella vulgata (common limpet)
Lineage: Eukaryota; Metazoa; Mollusca; Gastropoda; Patellidae
Exons: 3
Source: RefSeq, a predicted model, not a curated record